AUGAACGCUGGCGGCGUGCCUCAUACAUGCAAGUCGCGCGCACAGACGAGGAGCUUGCUCCUCUGACGUUAGCGGCGGACGGGUGAGUAACACGUGGAUAACCUACCUAUAAGACUGGGAUAACUUCGGGAAACCGGAGCUAAUACCGGAUAAUAUAUUGAACCGCAUGGUUCAAUAGUGAAAGACGGUUUUGCUGUCACUUAUAGAUGGAUCCGCGCCGCAUUAGCUAGUUGGUAAGGUAACGGCUUACCAAGGCGACGAUGCGUAGCCGACCUGAGAGGGUGAUCGGCCACACUGGAACUGAGACACGGUCCAGACUCCUACGGGAGGCAGCAGUAGGGAAUCUUCCGCAAUGGGCGAAAGCCUGACGGAGCAACGCCGCGUGAGUGAUGAAGGUCUUCGGAUCGUAAAACUCUGUUAUUAGGGAAGAACAAAUGUGUAAGUAACGAUGCACGUCUGGACGGUACCUAAGCAGAAAGCCACGGCUAACUACGG
Molecule: ribosomal RNA, 495 nt
Filed under: uncultured bacterium
Lineage: Bacteria
Description: partial 16S ribosomal RNA
Rfam family: Bacterial small subunit ribosomal RNA
Source: RNAcentral